RNAcentral lists this ribosomal RNA (498 nucleotides) under Escherichia coli. RNAcentral's name for it is "bacterial SSU rRNA". It matches the Rfam family "Bacterial small subunit ribosomal RNA", at positions 76 to 567 of the family's 1533-position model. The record is from RNAcentral. Lineage: Bacteria; Pseudomonadati; Pseudomonadota; Gammaproteobacteria; Enterobacterales; Enterobacteriaceae.
CAGCUUGCUGCUUCGCUGACGAGUGGCGGACGGGUGAGUAAUGUCUGGGAAACUGCCUGAUGGAGGGGGAUAACUACUGGAAACGGUAGCUAAUACCGCAUAACGUCGCAAGACCAAAGAGGGGGACCUUCGGGCCUCUUGCCAUCGGAUGUGCCCAGAUGGGAUUAGCUAGUAGGUGGGGUAACGGCUCACCUAGGCGACGAUCCCUAGCUGGUCUGAGAGGAUGACCAGCCACACUGGAACUGAGACACGGUCCAGACUCCUACGGGAGGCAGCAGUGGGGAAUAUUGCACAAUGGGCGCAAGCCUGAUGCAGCCAUGCCGCGUGUAUGAAGAAGGCCUUCGGGUUGUAAAGUACUUUCAGCGGGGAGGAAGGGAGUAAAGUUAAUACCUUUGCUCAUUGACGUUACCCGCAGAAGAAGCACCGGCUAACUCCGUGCCAGCAGCCGCGGUAAUACGGAGGGUGCAAGCGUUAAUCGGAAUUACUGGGCGUAAAGCG